RNAcentral lists this ribosomal RNA (505 nucleotides) under uncultured bacterium. Its description in RNAcentral is "partial 16S ribosomal RNA". It matches the Rfam family "Bacterial small subunit ribosomal RNA", at positions 28 to 507 of the family's 1533-position model. The record is from RNAcentral.
GACGAACGCUGGCGGCGUGCCUAAUACAUGCAAGUAGAACGCACAGUUUAUACCGUAGCUUGCUACACCAUAGACUGUGAGUUGCGAACGGGUGAGUAACGCGUAGGUAACCUGCCUGGUAGCGGGGGAUAACUAUUGGAAACGAUAGCUAAUACCGCAUAAUAUUUAUUAUUGCAUGAUAAUUGAUUGAAAGAUGCUAUUGCAUCACUACCAGAUGGACCUGCGUUGUAUUAGCUAGUAGGUGAGGUAACGGCUCACCUAGGCGACGAUACAUAGCCGACCUGAGAGGGUGAUCGGCCACACUGGGACUGAGACACGGCCCAGACUCCUACGGGAGGCAGCAGUAGGGAAUCUUCGGCAAUGGACGAAAGUCUGACCGAGCAACGCCGCGUGAGUGAAGAAGGGUUUCGGAUCGUAAAGCUCUGUUGUAAGAGAAGAACGGGUGUGAGAGUGGAAAGUUCACACUGUGACGGUAGCUUACCAGAAAGGGACGGCUAACUACGUG